AGAACGAACGCUGGCGGCAGGCUUAACACAUGCAAGUCGAGCGCCCCGCAAGGGGAGCGGCAGACGGGUGAGUAACGCGUGGGAAUCUACCCAAUCCUUCGGAAUAGCUCCGGGAAACUGGAAUUAAUACCGAGUACGCCCUACGGGGGAAAGAUUUAUCGGGGUUGGAUGAGCCCGCGUUGGAUUAGCUAGUUGGUGGGGUAAUGGCCUACCAAGGCGACGAUCCAUAGCUGGUCUGAGAGGAUGAUCAGCCACACUGGGACUGAGACACGGCCCAGACUCCUACGGGAGGCAGCAGUGGGGAAUAUUGGACAAUGGGCGCAAGCCUGAUCCAGCCAUGCCGCGUGAGUGAUGAAGGCCCUAGGGUUGUAAAGCUCUUUCAGUGGGGAAGAUAAUGACGGUACCCACAGAAGAAGCCCCGGCUAACUCGUGCCAGCAGCCGC
This 443-nucleotide ribosomal RNA is filed under the name uncultured soil bacterium. RNAcentral's name for it is "bacterial SSU rRNA". It matches the Rfam family "Bacterial small subunit ribosomal RNA", at positions 26 to 518 of the family's 1533-position model. The record is from RNAcentral.